Camelus ferus (Wild Bactrian camel) is the source of this 72-nucleotide transfer RNA. It matches the Rfam family "tRNA". Rfam says of the family: Transfer RNA (tRNA) molecules are approximately 80 nucleotides in length. The record is from Rfam. NCBI's taxonomy places the organism in Eukaryota, Metazoa, Chordata, Mammalia, Artiodactyla, Camelidae.
GAGGGUACAGCUCAGUGAUAGAGCAUGUGCUUAGCAUGCAUGAGGUCCUGGGUUCAAUCCCCAGUGCCUCCA